RNAcentral lists this ribosomal RNA (464 nucleotides) under Vreelandella stevensii. Its description in RNAcentral is "partial 16S ribosomal RNA". It matches the Rfam family "Bacterial small subunit ribosomal RNA", at positions 338 to 795 of the family's 1533-position model. Lineage: Bacteria; Pseudomonadati; Pseudomonadota; Gammaproteobacteria; Oceanospirillales; Halomonadaceae. The record is from RNAcentral.
CCUACGGGCGGCUGCAGUGGGGAAUAUUGGACAAUGGGCGAAAGCCUGAUCCAGCCAUGCCGCGUGUGUGAAGAAGGCCUUCGGGUUGUAAAGCACUUUCAGUGGGGAAGAAAGCCUUGGGGCUAAUACCCUCGAGGAAGGACAUCACCCACAGAAGAAGCACCGGCUAACUCCGUGCCAGCAGCCGCGGUAAUACGGAGGGUGCGAGCGUUAAUCGGAAUUACUGGGCGUAAAGCGCGCGUAGGCGGUCUGAUAAGCCGGUUGUGAAAGCCCCGGGCUCAACCUGGGAACGGCAUCCGGAACUGUCAGGCUAGAGUGCAGGAGAGGAAGGUAGAAUUCCCGGUGUAGCGGUGAAAUGCGUAGAGAUCGGGAGGAAUACCAGUGGCGAAGGCGGCCUUCUGGACUGACACUGACGCUGAGGUGCGAAAGCGUGGGUAGCAAACAGGAUUAGAUACCGAGUAGUC